ACACAUUUUUCGCCAAUUGGUUAA
This 24-nucleotide unclassified non-coding RNA is filed under the name Arabidopsis thaliana (thale cress). Lineage: Eukaryota; Viridiplantae; Streptophyta; Magnoliopsida; Brassicales; Brassicaceae. The record is from RNAcentral.